CUGACUCACAAGCUGUGAUCUGCGGUGCCCCCUUGUGGCACAGACAGUGACAGCAGGUUGUGCUCUAUUGAUCUGACUCUGAUGGCUGCUCUCCGGCCAGUUCUUGAUGUGAUGUUAUUCAGGGUGUCCUUGACUCACCAUACAGCAGCGCCCCCCUGUGUCUGUCCAGGGCUCCUGCAGUCUGUGUGUGUGCUGUCAGUGAGAGCUGCCUCGGUCCUCAGCUCUGCUGUGGGGCUGCAGUGUGGAUCAGAGGGGCUGGACACAGCUCUUCUCUCUCUUGAGUGAAGAAAAUAAAAACAGAUUUCUUUCGCUUUCUGAUGUGAUGCCUCCCUGUGUUAUUCACUUAUCCCACAGUACUGCUGCUCCACUCUCCCAGUCCUGCGUUCCAGGGCACAGGGGCUGUGGCUGACAUGAGAGAGGUCUGUGUUUGAUGGUACACUGAGGCAGGAGACGCCACACCAGGACUGGACGGGCAGUGUGGGGCAGGAGGGGAUGGGGUGAAUGCACCAGUGACUCUGAAGAUUUAGUAGCAUAGCUGCAAUCCCCACACAACCAAACGAUCCUUUCGUUUUUGCAGGCUGUUUAAAUAAAUGCAAUGCUGUGCCACCCAGACAGGGACUCAAACCCUCAGACUACAAGUCUUCUGCUCUCCUGGCUCUUCAGGGCACCUGUAGAGUCUAUGUUUAAGACCAUUCCAAGUCUUCACUGAUGUUCCAAACAAAAUAGAAGCCGUCACAGCUGUGCAAAAGUCUUAAUGUACUGUUUUAGGUUUUAGGGGUGAGUUUGUGAGGGUGGCGGGUAAGACAAGCACCACCGAAAGGGCUGGACUUCAUCUGCCAGCGGAACGGAGCGCUGCCUGCAGUUCCACCUGUGGCCGCUAGAGGGCAGCCGAGCCCGAGCAUUUAGCUGGACUCUUUGGUGCUGAAGAGAAAUUGUUUUUCAUCACGUCUGAAUGGUGGGUUACUAUUGUCCCACUGCAGAACACCUGAGAUCUGACACAAGGGGUGGACACUGUUCUGUCAGGAGACCCCGGACCGUCAUCCUCCCUCCCCUCUCGAUUCAGUUCAGUUCGCAGUGCUUUACGAGAGACUAAUC
RNAcentral lists this long non-coding RNA (1095 nucleotides) under Lepisosteus oculatus (spotted gar). RNAcentral's name for it is "lncRNA (ENSLOCG00000022620.1)". Lineage: Eukaryota; Metazoa; Chordata; Actinopteri; Semionotiformes; Lepisosteidae. The record is from RNAcentral.